This 253-nucleotide ribosomal RNA is filed under the name uncultured bacterium. RNAcentral's name for it is "partial 16S ribosomal RNA". It matches the Rfam family "Bacterial small subunit ribosomal RNA", at positions 524 to 776 of the family's 1533-position model. The record is from RNAcentral.
UACGUAGGUGGCAAGCGUUGUCCGGAUUUACUGGGCGUAAAGAGCGCGCAGGCGGUCGUUCAAGUCGCGUGUGAAAGCCCCCGGCUCAACUGGGGAGGGUCACGCGAUACUGAUCGACUCGAAGGCAGGAGAGGGUAGUGGAAUUCCUGGUGUAGCGGUGAAAUGCGCAGAUAUCAGGAAGAACACCCGUGGCGAAAGCGGCUCUCUGGGCCUUGCCUGACGCUGAGGCGCGAAAGCUAGGGGAGCGAACAGG